RNAcentral lists this ribosomal RNA (391 nucleotides) under uncultured bacterium. RNAcentral describes it as "partial 16S ribosomal RNA". It matches the Rfam family "Bacterial small subunit ribosomal RNA", at positions 523 to 917 of the family's 1533-position model. The record is from RNAcentral.
AUACGGAGGAUCCGAGCGUUAUCCGGAUUUAUUGGGUUUAAAGGGUGCGCAGGCGGCCAUUUACGUCAGCGGUUAAAUCGUGGGGCUCAACCCCAUUCUGCCGUUGAUACUGGGUGGCUUGAUUGCGGUCGAGGUUGGCGGAAUUCGUUGUGUAGCGGUGAAAUGCAUAGAUAUGACGAAGAACACCGAUUGCGUAGGCAGCUGACCAGACCGCAAAUGACGCUCAUGCACGAAAGUGCGGGGAUCGAACAGGAUUAGAUACCCUGGUAGUCCGCACAGUAAACGAUGAAUACUUGUUUUCGGCGAUAUAAUGUCGGAGGCAAAGCGAAAGCGAUAAGUAUUCCACCUGGGGAGUACGCCGGCAACGGUGAAACUCAAAGGAAUUGACGGG